GCUUAAAUAGUUUAAUUAAAAUAUUGAUUUGUGGAGUCAAAGAUGAAUAUAUAAGAUUUUUUAGGUU
This 67-nucleotide transfer RNA is filed under the name Paranauphoeta nigra. Its description in RNAcentral is "tRNA-His". Lineage: Eukaryota; Metazoa; Arthropoda; Insecta; Blattodea; Blaberidae. The record is from RNAcentral.